RNAcentral lists this ribosomal RNA (463 nucleotides) under uncultured bacterium. Its description in RNAcentral is "partial 16S ribosomal RNA". It matches the Rfam family "Bacterial small subunit ribosomal RNA", at positions 28 to 507 of the family's 1533-position model. The record is from RNAcentral.
GACGAACGCUGGCGGCGUGCUUAACACAUGCAAGUCGAGCGGUAAGGCCCUUCGGGGUACACGAGCGGCGAACGGGUGAGUAACACGUGAGUAAUCUGCCCAUCACUUCGGGAUAACUCCGGGAAACCGGUGCUAAUACCGAAUAUGACCACUUCAGGCAUCUGAUGGUGGUGGAAAGUUCCGGCGGUGAUGGAUGAGCUCGCGGCCUAACAGCUUGUUGGUGGGGUAGUGGCCUACCAAGGCUUCGACGGGUAGCCGGCCUGAGAGGGUGACCGGCCACACUGGGACUGAGACACGGCCCAGACUCCUACGGGAGGCAGCAGUGGGGAAUAUUGGACAAUGGGCGAAAGCCUGAUCCAGCAACGCCGCGUGAGGGAUGACGGCCUUCGGGUUGUAAACCUCUUUCAGCAGGGACGAAGCGCAAGUGACGGUACCUGCAGAAGAAGCACCGGCCAACUACGUG